UAAAGGGAGACCUAAUUCCGGUAGGAGACGAAAAAAAAGUAGUCCCUACCAAGAAUCAAUCCCAAAAGGUCGGAGCGAGGCAAAAUUGGCUUUCAAACUAGGUUCUGGGUUCACACAAGACCUGAAUCAGGAACAAGGGCUAUUAGCUCAGGUGGUUAGAGCGCACCCCUGAUAAGGGUGAGGUCCCUGGUUCGAGUCCAGGAUGGCCCACCUGCACAGGUGGCAAAAACAAAGAAAAAAAGCUCCGAAUCAGCACCUUAUCUUACUUAUAUAGUAAGAGAGAAUGCUGGCUCUGAGUACAGAGUCCAGAGGAACCUUGAAAACUGCAUAGAGCUAGGUGAAAAAGCCAAAAAAGAAGACCGCAA
Molecule: transfer RNA, 365 nt
Filed under: Sphaerocavum brasiliense UFMG_119
Lineage: Bacteria; Bacillati; Cyanobacteriota; Cyanophyceae; Chroococcales; Microcystaceae
Also listed under: 6 other names
Description: partial 16S-23S ribosomal RNA intergenic spacer
Rfam family: tRNA (bases 137-210)
Source: RNAcentral